UGGGGGAAUAUUGCACAAUGGAGGAAACUCUGAUGCAGCGACACCGCGUGAGCGAUGAAGUAUUUCGGUAUGUAAAGCUCUAUCAGCAGGGAAGAUAAUGACGGUACCUGAGUAAGAAGCUCCGGCUAAAUACGUGCCAGCAGCCGCGGUAAUACGUAUGGAGCAAGCGUUAUCCGGAUUUACUGGGUGUAAAGGGAGUGUAGGCGGCUUUGCAAGUCAGAUGUGAAAGCCCGGGGCUCAACCCCGGGACUGCAUUUGAAACUGUGAAGCUGGAGUGUCGGAGAGGUAAGUGGAAUUCCUAGUGUAGCGGUGAAAUG
Molecule: ribosomal RNA, 317 nt
Filed under: uncultured Lachnospiraceae bacterium
Lineage: Bacteria; Bacillati; Bacillota; Clostridia; Lachnospirales; Lachnospiraceae
Description: bacterial SSU rRNA
Rfam family: Bacterial small subunit ribosomal RNA
Source: RNAcentral